AAUCUCAAGUCUUCCUUCUGCGGUUAGCAGUGUGGAAAUCAAAGACAAAGACCUAGCGGGCUUCCUGAACGUGCUGAUGAACUGUCAGUGGCAGAGUCUGUGGUGUCGGGUGGAGGCCGGGGUUCUGAAGAUGUAUCGGGACGAGGCGUCAGAAGAGACCCCUCAAUACACGGUUCAGCUCAGAGGGAGUGAGGUGCGACCCGGCCCGGAUACAGCACAUGCUUACCGCAUUACCAUCACACAGCACGGGGACCAGAUGGCUGUACUAGAGGCGAGUUGUGCAGAUGAUAAAGAGCAGUGGGUUCAGCUCCUGCAGGAUGGGAGUUCUCCAUAUCAACACACCAGCCACGAGUCACUGAGUGGUCUGAAAAGCCGCAGGUGUCCCACCUCAAACAUGUACAUGGAUGACCCCUUUCAGCAGCUGUGUGGACCAUCAGUCCACUCGCAGCCCAUCUAUUCAAACUCCUCUAUAAUGGAGCACAUGUCUGAGAAACCCUACACUGGUGGAAACGGAGAAUUGGUGUCAUCCAAGGAUUCUGCCAGCUACAGCAGUAAUGAAAUCUUCAGCAACCACAGUACAAAACUGUUUGAGAUUGAGAGGGGUGUGCAGAAGCUGGACCUGACAGGAAAGAGACGCGUGCAGUUACGAGUGGGGUCAGAGGUCAACCUCGUGAGCGUGGGGACGAAGCCAGCCAAACGGUAUUCCUUCAGACGCUCCCUCGCUUUCUGCACUGAGCGAGCACAGGGGGGCUUUCUGACCCCACUCUUGAGAAGAACUGCCUCGGCAAAAAGCACCCUAAAGAAAGCUCCAUCUGCCCUGUUUAUGGAGCAUGGCAGGGUCUUCCAGAGGAGGAAGGAGUGGGAAACCAAAGCUUCAGGUUGACAUCAAGAGAAGACUCUCCCACAUUCCCCUCAUAUUGUCAAUAUAAUAUUGCACUGAAAAGAAUAUUCUUUCCAAGCAUGUGGAUCAUGCAGUGAUUUGGAUUUGUAAAGUUUUUUGUUCUUUUUUUGGGGGGUUCUUGGUACGUUUAAGAAAAUAACCGAUCACACAAACUCUUUAUCAGCAUAUUCUGUCCGUAGGCAAGCAUUCAUCUUCACACACAGGGUUGCAAGAUUGUUUGGGCGCAACUGUAAAACAUUUUACAUUUGUAAAUGUCUAUUGAGAUGAUGCUGAUGUACAUUUCUUUAGAAAUUAAACUCUAUGUCUAGAGAGUGGCACAUUUAAAUGAAGUGGAGUUUUAUGUUUAUCAUCAUAGCACAGUAUUUAUCCUUAUGUAAAUCACUUUGCACUGUUUUGAACCCAUCCUAAACCGUGUUUGCGGUUUUCAGGAAGGCAUUGUCAUGGUCAAAAUCAGGAAUCGUCAGUGUGAAGAUCAGUAACUGAUCAUUGAUUGUUGAAAAGUAAUUACCUCUUUCUUUUUUUUAUUUUCACAAGAUUCACAAAUCUGUGGUAAUUUAUCAAUUUAUACUUUUUUUAUCCCAGUGCACAUGCAGUAUAUUAAGUGUUGAGCUUUUCUAAUGAUGUGCCUUAACCAUAUUUUUGUAUCCAUGCUUUUAUGAAGCAUUGAUUUGUCUUUACAGCUGAAGAGAUUUUGCUGGUAUUGAUCCCACUCACUUCAGGAAAGCUUUUUCUGUAUAGUUAGCUUGGUUAAGACAAGGAUGGCCUAAUAUUGCUGUACAAAAGAUAACUGUGGAGAACAAAAACACCACUGAUGAACAUAUUUGUACAAUAAAUAAAGUAAUGCUGGA
Molecule: long non-coding RNA, 1749 nt
Organism: Sinocyclocheilus grahami
Lineage: Eukaryota; Metazoa; Chordata; Actinopteri; Cypriniformes; Cyprinidae
Source: Ensembl